This 1263-nucleotide ribosomal RNA is filed under the name Anaplecta sp. 4 ZQW-2020. RNAcentral's name for it is "16S ribosomal RNA". The stretch from base 1016 to 1175 matches the Rfam family "Archaeal large subunit ribosomal RNA", at positions 2542 to 2701 of the family's 2987-position model. The record is from RNAcentral. Lineage: Eukaryota; Metazoa; Arthropoda; Insecta; Blattodea; Anaplectidae.
UUAUUUUUUUCUUAUGAUUUUUGGUCUCUUUUAUUGUAGUAUCAUUAUUGUUUAGUAACUAUUAUUGAUAAAAUUUUUUUUUCUGUCUGUGAGGGUUUAUUGUAUUUUUUGAAGUUGGCUUAUUUGUUGUACCUUGUGUAUCAGGGCUUAUUAAUUUUUAAUAUUUAUUUUUUGUUUCCCGAAUUUAGGAGAGUUAUUUUGUUAUGUAGGUUUUUGUUUUAAAAAGAUCUUUAAUAUCAAAGUAGUAGUGAAAUGUUAAUCGUUCUUAGUGAUAUCUGGUUCCUUAGGAAAUUAAUUUAAUUUUAAAUUUAUCUUUUUAUUUCAAUUUUUUGAAAUUAAAUAUUUUAGUUUUAUCUUCAAGGGGGAUUAGCUCUUUCAAGUAAUUUUAUAACGGUUAUUUUUAUUAAUUUUUAUUGGUUUUUUAGUAACUAUUAUUGAUGAUUGUGUUAAAACUUUAUUUUUACUUUUUUUUAUUUUUAAUUGUUUAAUUUAUUUACUGAGGUUUUUUAUUUAACUUUUAAAUCUUACUAAUAAUGAUAAGAUUAGUAUACUAUGUUUUAUUUGUUGUUUUUUUAUUAUUAAUUGCUUUAAAGGAACUAGGCAAUAAAAUAAUUUUUGUCUGUUUAUCAAAAACAUUUCCUAUUGUUUUUAUUGUAGGUAUGGCCUGCCCACUGAGGUUAAACUUGAAUGGCCGCGGUAAUUUGACCGUGCGAAGGUAGCAUAAUCAUUAGUCUUUUAAUUGUUGACUUGUAUGAAUGGUUGAACAAGAAAUUUACUGUCUUUUUAGUAAGUGUUGAAUUUAAAUAUUAAGUGAGAAUGCUUAAUUAUUUUUAUGGGACGAGAAGACCCUAUAGAGUUUAAUAUCCCUUAUUAUUUGUUUGUUUGUAGUAUUUUAUAUUGUUGGGAAUAUUUUGUUGGGGUGAUUGGAAGAAUUAAUUAACUCUUUUUUUUUAUUAUUAUUUAUUUAUAAUUUUUUGAUCCUUUACUAUUGAUUAUAAGAUUAAAUUACCUUAGGGAUAACAGCGUAAUCCUUUCUUAGAGUUCUAAUUGAUGAAGGGGGUUGCGACCUCGAUGUUGGAUUAAGAUAACUUUAUGGUGUAGUCGCUAUAAUUUGUAGGUCUGUUCGACCUUUAAUUUCUUACAUGAUCUGAGUUCAAACCGGCGUGAGCCAGGUUGGUUUCUAUCUAUUUUCUUAAAUGGCUUAGUACGAAAGGACCAGUUAUUUUUAAUAAUUAUUUUGUUUUGGUAUUUUUAAAUUUUGAA